GGGCAUCUGAAAGUAGUCCUGAGGGUCACCUCGCGGUGCAGCCCCCGGGACGACCCAGGACACCCUGGAUACCCAGGCCGAGAGCCGGGACCAGCCGGCGCCUCCUCACUGCUGCUCGAGGGAGCCUGAAGAGAGGACCCAGUCAUGCUGCAGUCAGGCUUCUGACCUCCAGAACUAUGAACUAAUAAAUGGGUGUUUUAAGCUGUUAUGUUUGCAAUGUGUUAUGAAGUCACAGGAAACUGAUACAGAUGGUCAUUUCAAAGAGGGGAACCACAUGACAAAUGCUCUAAGCCAUAAAGAAGCAGAGAACUAAAGUCAUUCAGAGAACUAAAGACAUUCGGCAUAGCUGGACCAUGGGGAGCAAAGGAGAUGGUAUGAAAGCUAAUCUUUGAAGACACACUUAAUCAGCGAAAUGGUGAUUGUUGAAGGAGAAUUGUUGCCUGAUGCGCUAAUUUCUAAGUUAAAGAGGAACAUCAUUUUUGCAACAAUAAAGUAGUGAUCUGCCCUUCCACGCCGUGUUAAGACACUUCCCACAAUUCCUCCACCCUUCUCAUUUAGGUAAGUACUAAAAUAAACAGGAAAGGGGAACUGUACCUCUUAUCCCUAUGCAAUCGGCCCAGUGAAUUGAUUUCAACUUUGCAUUUAUGAGAAGAAAAAAAAAGAUGACUUCCUUAUUUGUAUUUUAGUGGGCACAAAAUUCCCCUUCCAGAGAGGCCUGUCUUUAUCCCUCAGCCAUUUUCAAAGAGCACUUUCAUGCAAAGAGCAAACAGCUUCUCUAGGCGGAGAGUUUGAAUUUCCCCUUCCUGAACCAUUUCCUAUAUCUGAACUGCCCACAUCUUAUGGGGCAAGAACAUCACAAGAGGAUGUAAAGGAUCCAACAAGCUACUAACUCAGCAGAAAACACAAUAAUGCCAGUCUUAGAGAACUACGUGCUAGGGAGAGUUCAUGGCAAUGAAUUCAAUAAAGGUCUUUUCCAACCAGCAGCCUAAUAGGAUCCUUUCUCUCUUCUUGUUGUUGAACUUAUCUAUCUAAGAACACAUUUUUUUAAAG
Molecule: long non-coding RNA, 1050 nt
Organism: Symphalangus syndactylus (siamang)
Lineage: Eukaryota; Metazoa; Chordata; Mammalia; Primates; Hylobatidae
Source: RefSeq, a predicted model, not a curated record